Molecule: unclassified non-coding RNA, 388 nt
Filed under: soil metagenome
Description: partial contains 5.8S ribosomal RNA, internal transcribed spacer 2, and large subunit ribosomal RNA
Rfam family: 5.8S ribosomal RNA (bases 1-121)
Source: RNAcentral
GAUGAAGAACGCAGCGAACGUGCGAAACGUAAUGUGAAUUGCAGAAUUCAGUGAAUCAUCGAAUCUUUGAACGCAUCUUGCGCUCCUUGGUAUUCCGAGGAGCAUGCCUGUUUGAGUGUCGUGAAUAACUCUCAAUUUCAAAUAUUUUUUUAAAAAAAGAAUAUCUGACAUUGGACUUGGGCGUUGUCGUGUUUCUACGACUCGUCCUAAAUGCAUUAGCGAUCUGCCCUGAUCACACACAAUGUGAUAAGUAAAAAAUAAAGCAUUGUUAUGGUUGGGUUUGAAAGAUGGCUUCUAAUCGUCGUAAUGACAAAUAAAAGAUCAUGUCGUUUGACCUCAAAUCAGGCAGGACUACCCGCUGAACUUAAGCAUAUCAAUAAGCGGAGGA